This 445-nucleotide ribosomal RNA is filed under the name uncultured bacterium. Its description in RNAcentral is "partial 16S ribosomal RNA". It matches the Rfam family "Bacterial small subunit ribosomal RNA", at positions 354 to 796 of the family's 1533-position model. The record is from RNAcentral.
GUGAGGAAUAUUGGACAAUGGGCGCAAGCCUGAUCCAGCCAUGCCGCGUGCAGGAAGACGCAUCUAUGGUGUGUAAACUGCUUUUGUACGGGAAGAAACACUCCCUCGUGAGGGAGCUUGACGGUACCGUAAGAAUAAGGAUCGGCUAACUCCGUGCCAGCAGCCGCGGUAAUGCGGAGGAUCCAAGCGUUAUCCGGAAUCAUUGGGUUUAAAGGGUCCGUAGGCGGUUUAAUAAGUCAGUGGUGAAAGCCCAUCGCUCAACGAUGGAACGGCCAUUGAUACUGUUAGACUUGAAUUACAAGGAAGUAACUAGAAUAUGUAGUGUAGCGGUGAAAUGCUUAGAUAUUACAUGGAAUACCAAUUGCGAAGGCAGGUUACUACUUGUGGAUUGACGCUGAUGGACGAAAGCGUGGGGAGCGAACAGGAUUAGAUACCCCGGUAGUCC